This 497-nucleotide ribosomal RNA is filed under the name uncultured bacterium. RNAcentral's name for it is "partial 16S ribosomal RNA". It matches the Rfam family "Bacterial small subunit ribosomal RNA", at positions 28 to 507 of the family's 1533-position model. The record is from RNAcentral.
GAUGAACGCUGGCGGCGUGCCUAAUACAUGCAAGUCGAGCGAACAGACGAGGAGCUUGCUCCUCUGACGUUAGCGGCGGACGGGUGAGUAACACGUGGAUAACCUACCUAUAAGACUGGGAUAACUUCGGGAAACCGGAGCUAAUACCGGAUAACAUGUUGAACCGCAUGGUUCAACAGUGAAAGACGGUCUUGCUGUCACUUAUAGAUGGAUCCGCGCCGCAUUAGCUAGUUGGUAAGGUAACGGCUUACCAAGGCAACGAUGCGUAGCCGACCUGAGAGGGUGAUCGGCCACACUGGAACUGAGACACGGUCCAGACUCCUACGGGAGGCAGCAGUAGGGAAUCUUCCGCAAAGGGCGAAAGCCUGACGGAACAACGCCGCGUGAGUGAAGAAGGUCUUCGGAUCGUAAAACUCUGUUAUUAGGGAAGAACAAAUGUGUAAGUAACUAUGCACGUCUUGACGGUACCUAAUCAGAAAGCCACGGCUAACUACGUG